RNAcentral lists this ribosomal RNA (438 nucleotides) under Nocticola sp. 1 MD-2011. RNAcentral describes it as "partial 16S ribosomal RNA". It matches the Rfam family "Bacterial large subunit ribosomal RNA", at positions 1817 to 2523 of the family's 2925-position model. Lineage: Eukaryota; Metazoa; Arthropoda; Insecta; Blattodea; Nocticolidae. The record is from RNAcentral.
UGUUUCUUGUAUUUAAUUUGAGAUAAUGCCUGCCCACUGAGGAUUUAAAGGGCUGCGGUAUACUGACCGUACAAAGGUAGCAUAAUAAGUAGUUUUUUAAUUGGAGGCUUGAAUGAAAGGUUUUAUGAGAAACCAGCUGUCUUUAGAGUAGAAUUGGAAUUUAGGGUUUAGGUAAAAAUACCUAGAUAGAUAAGUGGGACGAGAAGACCCUAUAGAAUUUUAUUUUAAUAUAAUGGUUGGUAAAAUAAUGAAGGAUGAGAAUAAAAAGCAUUGAUGUUUAAAAUUUAAUUGGGGUGAUUUCAAAAUAAUUAACUUUUGAUUAUUUUAAUUAUUUAUUUAUAUAGAUUUGAUCCAUAUUAUGUUGAUUGUAAGAUAAAUUACCUUAGGGAUAACAGCGUAAUUUAUUCGGAAAGUUCAUAUUGAUGAAUUAGUUUGCGA